Molecule: long non-coding RNA, 218 nt
Filed under: Vigna radiata
Lineage: Eukaryota; Viridiplantae; Streptophyta; Magnoliopsida; Fabales; Fabaceae
Description: long non-coding RNA (VRAD_LNC006646)
Source: RNAcentral
GUUGAUAAAUGUAUAUGGUUGCGUUUGUCUUCUUUAUGGCAUACUGUGUUAAUCAAAAUUAUUAAUCAAAACUGCCUCCACAACAUAGUUUCAGCCCCUUCAAGAUUCAUCAAGCAAUUGACAAUAGAAAAUAGGCAUAUAUGUUCCCCCAACAUCAAGAUUCCCAUACCCCUUUGGCACCCAAAAAACAUGUGAUAAAAAGCAAACAGAAGCAGUAG